This is a microRNA precursor of Aotus nancymaae (Ma's night monkey), 80 nucleotides long. The record is from Ensembl. NCBI's taxonomy places the organism in Eukaryota, Metazoa, Chordata, Mammalia, Primates, Aotidae.
ACCUGAGGAGCCAGCCCUCCUCCCGCACUCAAACUUGGAGCACUUGACCUUUGGCUGUUGGAGGGGGCCGGCCCGCGGGU